UCGGGAAUUUUGCGCAAUGGACGAAAGUCUGACGCAGCAACGCCGCGUGAGGGAUGACGGCCUUCGGGUUGUAAACCUCUUUUAUCAGGGAAGAUAAUGACGGUACCUGAUGAAUAAGUCACGGCUAACUACGUGCCAGCAGCCGCGGUAAUACGUAGGUGACAAGCGUUGUCCGGAUUUACUGGGCGUAAAGAGCGCGCAGGCGGUCGAUCAAGUCGAGUGUGAAAGCCCCCGGCUCAACUGGGGAGGGUCAUUCGAUACUGAUCGACUCGAAGGCAGGAGAGGGUAGUGGAAUUCCCGGUGUAGUGGUGAAAUGCGUAGAUAUCGGGAGGAACACCAGUGGCGAAGGCGACUACCUGGCCUGUUCUUGACGCUGAGGCGCGAAAGCUAGGGGGAGCAAACGGGAUUAGAUACCCCGGGUAGUCCUAGCCGUAAACGAUGGACACUAGGUGUUGGUGGUAUCAACCCCGCAGUGCCGAAGCUAACGCAUUAAG
Molecule: ribosomal RNA, 494 nt
Filed under: uncultured Acidobacteriota bacterium
Lineage: Bacteria; Pseudomonadati; Acidobacteriota
Description: bacterial SSU rRNA
Rfam family: Bacterial small subunit ribosomal RNA
Source: RNAcentral